GACCGAGAGUUCAAGAGUACGUGAAACCGUUUGCAAGUAAACAGAUGGACCCACGAAGUCCUGUUGAGUGAGAGAUUCAUAUACUUCAGGAGGCUAAUAGUUGUUUAGCUCACUUUGGUGACUGAACAGUUAUUACUGUCAACUGAAUGAUGCAUUUCUCUCGCUCACGUUGGAGCUCUGACUGCUCAUUAAAUGUUGAAUUUGCUCGACAAAGUGAUGUAGACCUUCGGGCUCUAAAUUUACUUCUUGUUGAGUGUAAAAUUUACAUUAUGAUGAGUAGGUGAAUUACUUACAAUUGUAAGUGUAUUCAGAUCAUUGGUAUCGUUGAGAUGCUAAUUAAUGUUGUAUAGAGUUCUUUCAAGACUUGUGCUUGAAGACUUUAUGCAUACGUUGAUUACAAGUGUUUCAUUCGAUGCAUUCAAUGAUGAUCCAGAGUAAGUAGGUCGGUCAUCCAUCUGACCCGUCUUGAAACACGGACCAAGGAGCCCAACAUGUAUGCGAGUCGCACAGUCUUGCAUAGGCUUGUGAGGCGAAAUAAACAUAAUGGUGUGACCAUAUAUCUUUAUUGAUAUCUGAGCAACACCAACCUGUUCAUACUAUUUAUUUAGUUGAACGGCGUUUGAGCAUACAUGUUGGUACCCGAAAGAUGGUGAACUAUACUUGGGCAAGACGAAGCCAGAGGAAACUCUGGUGGAGGUCUGUAGCGAUUCUGACGUGCAAAUCGAUCGUCAGACCUGAGUAUA
RNAcentral lists this ribosomal RNA (743 nucleotides) under Torrenticola tysoni. RNAcentral's name for it is "eukaryotic LSU rRNA". It matches the Rfam family "Eukaryotic large subunit ribosomal RNA", at positions 379 to 919 of the family's 3401-position model. Lineage: Eukaryota; Metazoa; Arthropoda; Arachnida; Trombidiformes; Torrenticolidae. The record is from RNAcentral.